GAUUAGUGAGUGGGUGGGUCCAAAAUUGUUUAAAACUCGUGAAGACAAGUAACCUAAAAUCAUCAUUACAUCUGUUUUUUUUUUUUUUGUUUAGAUGUUGGAAGUGUUUUUGUGUUCACAAUGCCAUUACAAGAAAAGUUUAAGGUUGCGCUUCGGAGAAGACCUAAUCAUUGUUGUUAUAUAUCUUUUUCCCCCAAAGUCACCUGCGGAUUUUUAA
This 217-nucleotide long non-coding RNA is filed under the name Capsella rubella. RNAcentral describes it as "long non-coding RNA (CRUB_LNC004818)". Lineage: Eukaryota; Viridiplantae; Streptophyta; Magnoliopsida; Brassicales; Brassicaceae. The record is from RNAcentral.